RNAcentral lists this ribosomal RNA (484 nucleotides) under uncultured bacterium. RNAcentral describes it as "partial 16S ribosomal RNA". It matches the Rfam family "Bacterial small subunit ribosomal RNA", at positions 30 to 507 of the family's 1533-position model. The record is from RNAcentral.
AUUGAACGCUGGCGGCAGGCCUAACACAUGCAAGUCGAGCGGAUGAAGGGAGCUUGCUCCUGGAUUCAGCGGCGGACGGGUGAGUAAUGCCUAGGAAUCUGCCCGGUAGUGGGGGAUAACGUCCGGAAACGGGCGCUAAUACCGCAUACGUCCUGAGGGAGAAAGUGGGGGAUCUUCGGACCUCACGCUAUCAGAUGAGCCUAGGUCGGAUUAGCUAGUUGGUGGGGUAAAGGCCUACCAAGGCGACGAUCCGUAACUGGUCUGAGAGGAUGAUCAGUCACACCGGAACUGAGACACGGUCCAGACUCCUACGGGAGGCAGCAGUGGGGAAUAUUGGACAAUGGGCGAAAGCCUGAUCCAGCCAUGCCGCGUGUGUGAAGAAGGUCUUCGGAUUGUAAAGCACUUUAAGUUGGGAGGAAGGGCAGUAAGUUAAUACCUUGCUGUUUUGACGUUACCAACAGAAUAAGCACCGGCUAACUUCGUG